UGGGCUAUAGCCAAGCGGUAAGGCAACGGACUUUGACUCCGUGCCGCGCUGGUUCGAAUCCAGCUAGCCCAG
This 72-nucleotide transfer RNA is filed under the name Bacillus haynesii. RNAcentral's name for it is "tRNA-Gln". It matches the Rfam family "tRNA". From Rfam's summary of the family: Transfer RNA (tRNA) molecules are approximately 80 nucleotides in length. Their secondary structure includes four short double-helical elements and three loops (D, anti-codon, and T loops). Further hydrogen bonds mediate the characteristic L-shaped molecular structure. tRNAs have two regions of fundamental functional importance: the anti-codon, which is responsible for specific mRNA codon recognition, and the 3' end, to which the tRNAs corresponding amino acid is attached (by aminoacyl-tRNA synthetases). tRNAs cope with the degeneracy of the genetic code in two manners: having more than one tRNA (with a specific anti-codon) for a particular amino acid; and 'wobble' base-pairing, i.e. permitting non-standard base-pairing at the 3rd anti-codon position. The record is from RNAcentral. Lineage: Bacteria; Bacillati; Bacillota; Bacilli; Caryophanales; Bacillaceae.